Molecule: ribosomal RNA, 1426 nt
Filed under: uncultured bacterium
Lineage: Bacteria
Description: 16S ribosomal RNA
Rfam family: Bacterial small subunit ribosomal RNA
Source: RNAcentral
GCUUAACACAUGCAAGUCGAGGGGCAGCAUGGUCUUAGCUUGCUAAGGCCGAUGGCGACCGGCGCACGGGUGAGUAACACGUAUCCAACCUGCCGUCUACUCUUGGACAGCCUUCUGAAAGGAAGAUUAAUACAAGAUGGCAUCAUGAGUCCGCAUGUUCACAUGAUUAAAGGUAUUCCGGUAGACGAUGGGGAUGCGUUCCAUUAGAUAGUAGGCGGGGUAACGGCCCACCUAGUCUUCGAUGGAUAGGGGUUCUGAGAGGAAGGUCCCCCACAUUGGAACUGAGACACGGUCCAAACUCCUACGGGAGGCAGCAGUGAGGAAUAUUGGUCAAUGGGCGAGAGCUUGAACCAGCCAAGUAGCGUGAAGGAUGACUGCCCUAUGGGUUGUAAACUUCUUUUAUAAAGGAAUAAAGUCGGGUAUGGAUACCCGUUUGCAUGUACUUUAUGAAUAAGGAUCGGCUAACUCCGUGCCAGCAGCCGCGGUAAUACGGAGGAUCCGAGCGUUAUCCGGAUUUAUUGGGUUUAAAGGGAGCGUAGAUGGAUGUUUAAGUCAGUUGUGAAAGUUUGCGGCUCAACCGUAAAAUUGCAGUUGAUACUGGAUAUCUUGAGUGCAGUUGAGGCAGGCGGAAUUCGUGGUGUAGCGGUGAAAUACUUAGAUAUCACGAAGAACUCCGAUUGCGAAGGCAGCCUGCUAAGCUGCAACUGACAUUGAGGCUCGAAAGUGUGGGUAUCAAACAGGAUUAGAUACCCUGGUAGUCCACACGGUAAACGAUGAAUACUCGCUGUUUGCGAUAUACUGCAAGCGGCCAAGCGAAAGCGUUAAGUAUUCCACCUGGGGAGUACGCCGGCAACGGUGAAACUCAAAGGAAUUGACGGGGGCCCGCACAAGCGGAGGAACAUGUGGUUUAAUUCGAUGAUACGCGAGGAACCUUACCCGGGCUUAAAUUGCAGAUGAAUUACGGUGAAAGCCGUAAGCCGCAAGGCAUCUGUGAAGGUGCUGCAUGGUUGUCGUCAGCUCGUGCCGUGAGGUGUCGGCUUAAGUGCCAUAACGAGCGCAACCCUUGUUGUCAGUUACUAACAGGUUCCGCUGAGGACUCUGACAAGACUGCCAUCGUAAGAUGUGAGGAAGGUGGGGAUGACGUCAAAUCAGCACGGCCCUUACGUCCGGGGCUACACACGUGUUACAAUGGGGGGUACAGAGGGCCGCUACCACGCGAGUGGAUGCCAAUCCCCAAAACCUCUCUCAGUUCGGACUGGAGUCUGCAACCCGACUCCACGAAGCUGGAUUCGCUAGUAAUCGCGCAUCAGCCACGGCGCGGUGAAUACGUUCCCGGGCCUUGUACACACCGCCCGUCAAGCCAUGGGAGCCGGGGGUACCUGAAGUGCGUAACCGCGAGGAGCGCCCUAGGGUAAAACUGGUGACU